This 119-nucleotide small nuclear RNA is filed under the name Salvator merianae (Argentine black and white tegu). Its description in RNAcentral is "U4 spliceosomal RNA (ENSSMRG00000011956.1)". It matches the Rfam family "U4 spliceosomal RNA", at positions 1 to 117 of the family's 138-position model. Rfam says of the family: U4 small nuclear RNA (U4 snRNA) is a component of the major U2-dependent spliceosome. The structure of U4 snRNA from yeast and human has been reported. Lineage: Eukaryota; Metazoa; Chordata; Lepidosauria; Squamata; Teiidae. The record is from RNAcentral.
AGCUUUGUGCAGUGGCAGUGUUGUAGCCAAUGAAAUUUAUCAGAGGUGUGAUUAUUGCUAAUUGAAAACUUUUCCCAAUAGUCCACAAUGACAACUUGAAAUAUAGUUGACAUUGACAC